GGUUAAGCGACUAAGCGUACACGGUGGAUGCCCUGGCAGUCAGAGGCGAUGAAGGACGUGCUAAUCUGCGAUAAGCGUCGGUAAGGUGAUAUGAACCGUUAUAACCGGCGAUUUCCGAAUGGGGAAACCCAGUGUGUUUCGACACACUAUCAUUAACUGAAUCCAUAGGUUAAUGAGGCGAACCGGGGAACUGAAACAUCUAAGUACCCCGAGGAAAAGAAAUCAACCGAGAUUCCCCCAGUAGCGGCGAGCGAACGGGGAGGAGCCCAGAGCCUGAAUCAGUGUGUGUGUUAGUGGAAGCGUCUGGAAAGGCGCGCGAUACAGGGUGACAGCCCCGUACACAAAAAUGCACAUACUGUGAGCUCGAUGAGUAGGGCGGGACACGUGGUAUCCUGUCUGAAUAUGGGGGACCAUCCUCCAAGGCUAAAUACUCCUGACUGACCGAUAGUGAACCAGUACCGUGAGGGAAAGGCGAAAAGAACCCCGGCGAGGGGAGUGAAAAAGAACCUGAAACCGUGUACGUACAAGCAGUGGGAGCCUCUUUUAUGGGGUGACUGCGUACCUUUUGUAUAAUGGGUCAGCGACUUAUAUUCUGUAGCAAGGUUAACCGAAUAGGGGAGCCGAAGGGAAACCGAGUCUUAACUGGGCGUUAAGUUGCAGGGUAUAGACCCGAAACCCGGUGAUCUAGCCAUGGGCAGGUUGAAGGUUGGGUAACACUAACUGGAGGACCGAACCGACUAAUGUUGAAAAAUUAGCGGAUGACUUGUGGCUGGGGGUGAAAGGCCAAUCAAACCGGGAGAUAGCUGGUUCUCCCCGAAAGCUAUUUAGGUAGCGCCUCGUGAAUUCAUCUCCGGGGUAGAGCACUGUUUCGGCAAGGGGGUCAUCCCGACUUACCAACCCGAUGCAAACUGCGAAUACCGGAGAAUGUUAUCACGGGAGACACACGGCGGGUGCUAACGUCCGUCGUGAAGAGGGAAACAACCCAGACCGCCAGCUAAGGUCCCAAAGUCAUGGUUAAGUGGGAAACGAUGUGGGAAGGCCCAGACAGCCAGGAUGUUGGCUUAGAAGCAGCCAUCAUUUAAAGAAAGCGUAAUAGCUCACUGGUCGAGUCGGCCUGCGCGGAAGAUGUAACGGGGCUAAACCAUGCACCGAAGCUGCGGCAGCGACGCUUAUGCGUUGUUGGGUAGGGGAGCGUUCUGUAAGCCUGCGAAGGUGUGCUGUGAGGCAUGCUGGAGGUAUCAGAAGUGCGAAUGCUGACAUAAGUAACGAUAAAGCGGGUGAAAAGCCCGCUCGCCGGAAGACCAAGGGUUCCUGUCCAACGUUAAUCGGGGCAGGGUGAGUCGACCCCUAAGGCGAGGCCGAAAGGCGUAGUCGAUGGGAAACAGGUUAAUAUUCCUGUACUUGGUGUUACUGCGAAGGGGGACGGAGAAGGCUAUGUUGGUAGGGCGACGGUUGUCCCGGUUUAAGCGUGUAGGCUGGUUUUCCAGGCAAAUCCGGAAAACCAAGGCUGAGGCGUGAUGACGAGGCACUACGGUGCUGAAGCGACAAAUGCCCUGCUUCCAGGAAAAGCCUCUAAGCAUCAGGUAACAUCAAAUCGUACCCCAAACCGACACAGGUGGUCAGGUAGAGAAUACCAAGGCGCUUGAGAGAACUCGGGUGAAGGAACUAGGCAAAAUGGUGCCGUAACUUCGGGAGAAGGCACGCUGAUAUGUAGGUGAAGCGACUUGCUCGUGGAGCUGAAAUCAGUCGAAGAUACCAGCUGGCUGCAACUGUUUAUUAAAAACACAGCACUGUGCAAACACGAAAGUGGACGUAUACGGUGUGACGCCUGCCCGGUGCCGGAAGGUUAAUUGAUGGGGUUAGCGGUAACGCGAAGCUCUUGAUCGAAGCCCCGGUAAACGGCGGUACCGUAACUAUAACGGUCCUAAGGUAGCGAAAUUCCUUGUCGGGUAAGUUCCGACCUGCACGAAUGGCGUAAUGAUGGCCAGGCUGUCUCCACCCGAGACUCAGUGAAAUUGAACUCGCUGUGAAGAUGCAGUGUACCCGCGGCAAGACGGAAAGACCCCGUGAACCUUUACUAUAGCUUGACACUGAACAUUGAGCCUUGAUGUGUAGGAUAGGUGGGAGGCUUUGAAGUGUGGACGCCAGUCUGCAUGGAGCCGACCUUGAAAUACCACCCUUUAAUGUUUGAUGUUCUAACGUUGGCCCGUAAUCCGGGUUGCGGACAGUGUCUGGUGGGUAGUUUGACUGGGGCGGUCUCCUCCUAAAGAGUAACGGAGGAGCACGAAGGUUGGCUAAUCCUGGUCGGACAUCAGGAGGUUAGUGCAAUGGCAUAAGCCAGCUUGACUGCGAGCGUGACGGCGCGAGCAGGUGCGAAAGCAGGUCAUAGUGAUCCGGUGGUUCUGAAUGGAAGGGCCAUCGCUCAACGGAUAAAAGGUACUCCGGGGAUAACAGGCUGAUACCGCCCAAGAGUUCAUAUCGACGGCGGUGUUUGGCACCUCGAUGUCGGCUCAUCACAUCCUGGGGCUGAAGUAGGUCCCAAGGGUAUGGCUGUUCGCCAUUUAAAGUGGUACGCGAGCUGGGUUUAGAACGUCGUGAGACAGUUCGGUCCCUAUCUGCCGUGGGCGCUGGAGAACUGAGGGGGCUGCUCCUAGUACGAGAGGACCGGAGUGGACGCAUCACUGGUGUUCGGGUUGUCAUGCCAAUGGCACUGCCCGGUAGCUAAAUGCGGAAGAGAUAAGUGCUGAAAGCAUCUAAGCACGAAACUUGCCCCGAGAUGAGUUCUCCCUGAGACUUUAAGUCUCCUGAAGGAACGUUGAAGACGACGACGUUGAUAGGCCGGGUGUGUAAGCGCAGCGAUGCGUUGAGCUAACCGGUACUAAUGAACCGUGAGGCUUAACCUU
Molecule: ribosomal RNA, 2903 nt
Filed under: Escherichia coli
Lineage: Bacteria; Pseudomonadati; Pseudomonadota; Gammaproteobacteria; Enterobacterales; Enterobacteriaceae
Description: 23S ribosomal RNA
Rfam family: Bacterial large subunit ribosomal RNA
Source: RNAcentral